CCAAUAGCGUAUAUUAAAGUUGUUGCAGUUAAAAAGCUCGUAGUUGAAUUUCGGGAUUGACGUGACGGUCGUGCCUUACGGGGUAUGAACUGUCGCCGUUGAUUUCUCACCUUCUGGAGAAGCUCGAUGUCCUUAAUUGGGUGUCUUGCGGAACCAGGACCUUUACCUUGAAAAAAUUAGAGUGUUUAAAGCAGGCAUUUUGCUCGAAUACAUUAGCAUGGAAUAAUAGAAUAGGACGGCAUGGUUCUAUUUUGUUGGUUUCUAGGAUCACCGUAAUGAUUAAUAGGGAUAGUUGGUGGCAUUAGUAUUCAAUUGUCAGAGGUGAAAUUCUUGGAUUUAUUGAAGACUAACUACUGCGAAAGCAUUUGCCAAGGAUGUUUUCAUUAAUCAAGAACGAAAGUUAGGGGAUCGAAGACGAUCAGAUACCGUCGUAGUCUUAACCAUAAACUAUGCCGACUAGGAAUCAGACGAUGUUAAUUUUUUAAUGACUCGUUUGGCACCUUACG
RNAcentral lists this ribosomal RNA (506 nucleotides) under uncultured Glomeromycotina. RNAcentral's name for it is "partial small subunit ribosomal RNA". It matches the Rfam family "Eukaryotic small subunit ribosomal RNA", at positions 591 to 1092 of the family's 1831-position model. Lineage: Eukaryota; Fungi; Glomeromycota. The record is from RNAcentral.